UACGUAGGUGACCAGCGUUGUCCGGAAUUAUUGGGCGUAAAGAGCUCGUAGGCGGUGUGUCGCGUCGGCCGUGAAAACCUGGGGCUCAACUCUGGGCGUGCGGUCGAUACGGGCAUCACUUGAGUUCGGCAGGGGAGACUGGAAUUCCUGGUGUAGCGGUGAAAUGCGCAGAUAUCAGGAGGAACACCGGUGGCGAAGGCGGGUCUCUGGGCCGAUACUGACGCUGAGGAGCGAAAGCAUGGGGAGCGAACAGG
Molecule: ribosomal RNA, 254 nt
Filed under: uncultured bacterium
Lineage: Bacteria
Description: partial 16S ribosomal RNA
Rfam family: Bacterial small subunit ribosomal RNA
Source: RNAcentral